This 468-nucleotide ribosomal RNA is filed under the name uncultured bacterium. RNAcentral describes it as "partial 16S ribosomal RNA". It matches the Rfam family "Bacterial small subunit ribosomal RNA", at positions 28 to 507 of the family's 1533-position model. The record is from RNAcentral.
GACGAACGCUGGCGGCGUGCUUAACACAUGCAAGUCGAACGGAAAGGCCCUGCUUUUGUGGGGUGCUCGAGUGGCGAACGGGUGAGUAACACGUGAGUAACCUGCCCUUGACUUUGGGAUAACUUCAGGAAACUGGGGCUAAUACCGGAUAGGAGCUCCUGCUGCAUGGUGGGGGUUGGAAAGUUUUGGCGGUUGGGGAUGGACUCGCGGCUUAUCAGCUUGUUGGUGGGGUAGUGGCUUACCAAGGCUUUGCCGGGUAGCCGGCCCGAGAGGGUUACCGGACGCAUUGGGGCUGCAUUACGGGCCAGACCUCUACGGGAGGCAACAGUGGGGAAUAUUGGACGAUGGGCGGAAGCCUGAUGCAGCAAAGCCGCGUGCGGGGUGAAGGCCUUUGGGUUGUAAACCGCGUUCGCCUGUGACGAAGCGUGCGUGACUGGAAUGGGUAAAGAAGCCCCGGGUAAAUACGGG